AUGAGCCCCAAAGGACAUCGCUUGAGCACCCACCUGCUUGGUGAGGAGGAUCUCCGCCUGCUUGGUGUCACGAAGGAACUCCUGGAAGUUGCGGCACUGGGUGAGGAAGCGCUUCCGAGCCUCUGCCAUCUUGCCCAGGGCAGCCCAGCCGUCCUUCACGCCGCCCAGGCGCUGCCGCAGCCCCUCGUAUUCGGGAUCCGUCUGUCCCCCCAGCACCCGCUCCCCCGCCUCCACCAAGGCGGCGAAGGCUCCCGCAUGGUCCUCAGCAUCGCGCCGGGCCGCUUCGUGCCGCUGCAGCAUCUCCUCUGCCUCCCCCAGCGACGCCGGCACCUCAUCGACGGCCGCCACGGCUUUCUGAGCGCCGAAGAGCCACGCCUGGAAGUCAUCCAGGUCCUGCAGGAAACUCCGGAGCUGCCCGGCUUCCCCCAGGGACGCUGCGCGCUCUGCCAGGGCUGCCUGCAGCUCGUCCCAGGCGGAGGUGGCCAUGGCCAGCUUCUGGGCCACCUCGGUGGCCGCCUCGGGCCGCUCCUCUGCCAGGCGCUCGGCUUGGGAGCGCAGGGCGGCCAGGCGGUCCUGGGCCACCGCCAGCUCCCGCUCGAUGCCGUAGAGCUUGCGCUGCGUAGCCAGGACACCGGCCAGGUCACGGCCCAGCUCGGCCGUGGCCUCCACCGCCCGGGCUUUGCUCCGCAGCCAUUUCUGGGUCUCCUCGGACUCCAGGUUGUAGUUGAGGAGGCGCAGUGCCGAGCCCACCGCCCUCCGGCGCUCCGACACCAGCUCUCGGAAUCGGCCCCACCUGCGGGACAGAGGCGGGGGGGAUGGCGGGGAAUGCACCGGCACCGUGUCACCACCUGCCCCCGCACCACCGCCACCACGGCCAGCGUACCUCUCAUUGAGCUGCUCCCGGCACUGCCGGACCUGGGGGCUCCGGGGGUGCCCGCUAGCCAGGAGCCCGUCAGCAGCCUGGUUGACCGCGGCGAUCUGGGAAGCCACGGUGGCCAUGUCUUGCUCCAGCCCGUCCAGCCUGUGGGAACGUCCAGGCUUAGAACGAGCAGCAGCUCAGGACAGGGCACGGCAGCACCACCACGGCAGGGGCUCCUUCCUACCUGCGCUGCGUCACGUCCAGGUCUUCCAGCGCCUGCGGCACCUCCAGCUCCGCCAGCCAGGUCUCCUUGGAGCCCAUCCAUAGAUGGCAGGCAUCACUCUCCCCGAAAACAGUGUAGAGGUUCAGGGCAUCCUGCAGCUGGCGGCCGCGGCGCUCGGCCAGCGCGGCCGCCUCGGCGUGCAGCUCCCGCAGGGCCGCCAGCCGGCUCUGCGCCUCGGGGCCGGCGCGCAGCUCCGGCGGGAAGCCCUCGGCCUGCUGAGCCAGCCUGUCCAGCUGCUCCCGGGCGGCCGCCAGCUCGUCCAGCAGCUCCUGGUGCUGCCGCAGCAGGACCAGGGUGCGGGAUUCAUCCUGGCCCAGCUCCUCGGCGGCCGCCCGCCGGCGGGCAUCCUGCAGCCCCUCCGCCAACUCCUCCACCUCCCCCUGGAACUGGAAGAAGCCCUCGGCUUCCCGCAGGCCGCGCCAUCGGAACGCCGCCAGCUCCUCCAGCUGCGCCCACAGUGCCCGCACGGCCGCCCCCCGCUCCCGCAGCUGCUCGGCCGCCCUGCCCGCGGCCGCCAGCCCCUCGGCCACCGCCAGCGUCUGCUCCAGCCGCCCGCCCCGGCUCCGCAGCUCGGCCUCAAAGGCAGCGUGCCGGCGCUGGAGCAGCAGCACGCCCGGCAGGUCCUUCCCGAAGUCCAGGGAGGAGUAGAGCUGCUCCUGCUCCUUGA
RNAcentral lists this long non-coding RNA (1809 nucleotides) under Camarhynchus parvulus. RNAcentral's name for it is "lncRNA (ENSCPVG00000016810.1)". Lineage: Eukaryota; Metazoa; Chordata; Aves; Passeriformes; Thraupidae. The record is from RNAcentral.